GAUGAAGAACGUAGCGAAAUGCGAUACGUAAUGUGAAUUGCAGAAUUCAGUGAAUCAUCGAAUCUUUGAACGCACCUUGCGCCCUUUGGCUAUUCCGAAGGGCAUGCCUGUUUGAGUAUCAUGAACACCUCAACUCUCAUGGUUUGCCAUGAUGAGCUUGGACUCUGGGGGUCUUGCUGGCCUAUGGUCAGCUCCUCUCAAAUAAAUCAGCUUGCCAGUGUUUGGUGGCAUCACAGGUGUGAUAACUAUCUACGCUUGUGGUUUUCCAUCAGGUAACCUUCAGUGAUGGAGGUUCGCUGGAGCUCAUAAAUGUCCCUCCUCAGCGAGGACAGCUUUUUGAACGUUUGAUCUCAAAUCAGGUAGGACUACCCGCUGAACUUAAGCAUAUCAAUAAGCGGAGGA
RNAcentral lists this unclassified non-coding RNA (402 nucleotides) under soil metagenome. Its description in RNAcentral is "partial contains 5.8S ribosomal RNA, internal transcribed spacer 2, and large subunit ribosomal RNA". The stretch from base 1 to 121 matches the Rfam family "5.8S ribosomal RNA", at positions 35 to 154 of the family's 154-position model. The record is from RNAcentral.